CAGCAGCCACGGGAAUACGUAGGGUGCAAGCGUUAAUCGGAAUUACUGGGCGUAAAGCGUGCGCAGGCGGUUAUAUAAGACAGAUGUGAAAUCCCCGGGCUCAACCUGGGAACUGCAUUUGUGACUGUAUAGCUAGAGUACGGCAGAGGGGGAUGGAAUUCCGCGUGUAGCAGUGAAAUGCGUAGAUAUGCGGAGGAACACCGAUGGCGAAGGCAAUCCCCUGGGCCUGUACUGACGCUCAUGCACGAAAGCGUGGGGAGCAAACAGGAUUAGAUACCCGGGUAGUCCCUGUCUCUUAUAC
This 301-nucleotide ribosomal RNA is filed under the name uncultured bacterium. RNAcentral describes it as "partial 16S ribosomal RNA". It matches the Rfam family "Bacterial small subunit ribosomal RNA", at positions 509 to 807 of the family's 1533-position model. The record is from RNAcentral.